RNAcentral lists this long non-coding RNA (6353 nucleotides) under Sus scrofa (pig). RNAcentral's name for it is "lncRNA (ENSSSCG00065031479.1)". Lineage: Eukaryota; Metazoa; Chordata; Mammalia; Artiodactyla; Suidae. The record is from RNAcentral.
GCUGGGUACAUCCUGCACCAAAAUAAUGCCUAUUUUUCUUUCCUUCCCUCCACAAAAAUGAUGGAAUAUAAUAGGCACUUCACCAUAGGAUCUAACUGGGAAGCCUUAAAAUCUACUGCUGUCUGAACACUACAUCCAUACAGAGAUCCGUGGGAGCAUGGGAGAUUUCGUAAUCUUCCAGGGGAUUCUCAUGUACAUCUAGGAAUGAGAGCCUCUGGACCAGAAUUUCAAGCAGAGAGGAAAUCCCAUACAGUUUAUGUAGGAAAAUGGUAAGAGAUCAGAAUUAAAUAGUUAGAGAAUAAAUUAUUAUUAAGAAGUGGGUAAAGCAUUCAGAGGUAAAAUUGCCCUUGUGUAUCUCUGUAACUCCUCCUAGCAGGGCACUGUGACCAAGGAGACAGGUGACAGAAGCCAAAUGAUGAAUGUGCUCCUUAUCUGGGAAUGCCUUUCCAUUCUCUGCCCUGAGGGAUCAUUAUUUACUUAACCUGUGUAGGAACUUGAUGGUAGGUAUGUGCUCUAGUACAGGUUCCCCAGAAAAUAAUGCCUAAGAAUUAUUAUUAUUAUUAUUGUUGUUAUUAUUAUUAGGUCUUUUUAAGGCCCCACCCAUGGCACAUGGAAGUUCCCAGGCUAGGGGUCAAAUUGGAGCUACAGCUGCCGGCCUACACUACAGCCACAGCAAUGCGGGAUCUGAACUGCGUCCACGACCUACACCACAGGUCACAGCAAUGCUGGAUCCUUAACCCACAGAGUGAGGCCAGGGAUCAAACCCAUGACCCCAUGGAUACUAGUUGGGUUCGUUACUUCUGAGCCACGAAAAGAACUCCAAGAAUUACUUUGGACUCAGACGUACAACACAACUGGCAUGCCCAAUGAAAAUCUUGAACUUUGAAGGAUUUCUCCCUGGAGCCCAGCAUGUGCCAUAAUCUUGACUCCCCGAUAAGUCUUCAUCUUCAGAGCCACUGUGACCUUCACCAAAGGCCUUGUGUGGGUGGUAAGUUAGGAAGGUCAAUCAUCCCCCCACUUUCUACAAAACUGGAGUCAAUUCCCACAAUUAAGAAAUGAUAGAAUCCAUUGCUAAAGCACCUCACAGUCAAGAGCAACCAGGGCAUCUAGAAGACCCAGGUAUUAAUCUCAACUUCCUCACUGUCUAUACUACUCUGCAAAUCUCAUUUCACUUAUUUAAUCCUCAGUUUCCUCAACUAAAACACAAGGGGGUGGAGUGCAUGACCUUGUGGGCUUUCACUGGUUUUUAAAAAUUUCUAGCAGGUGAGUGCAGUCAUACAACUCAGGGUCCUUGCAGAGUAGGAUCUCUGAGCAUCAGAGAUGCUUAGUAAGUUUUUGUUUGUGGAGGAAAUUUCAGUGACUUUAUUCUCAGGUCAUUCUCCCCAUCUCUUCUCUUAAAUAGGUGCAUCUGCAAGCCAGAUGUGUGGUAUCACAGCUUGGGUGGAAAUUCUAGUUCUCUCAUUGCUGAGUUGGGACUUUGAGAAAAUCAGUUAAUUUUCCUGAGCUUCUGUCUCUUCAUUGAUGAUACUGGCAGCAUAACAUCUCCACGACAUCUCAGGGGCCCCACGAGGCUGAGUGAGUCAGGUAUACAGAAUGCUUCACCCAGCAACUGGUAUGUCUUAGCCUACAUCACUCAUGCUCUCUCCAUCUAUCUUUUCCACACAUGGGCAUUAUCUUUUCUUUUUGACUGCACUUGUGGCAUACAGAAGUUCCCAGGCCAGGGAUGGAACCCACACCACAGCUCUAACCAGAGCCGCAGCAGUGAUAGUGAGGGAUCAUUAACUUGCUUAAGCCAGGAAGGAACUCCCGUGCGUGUGUAUUUCUAACUUUACAGAAUGGCAUCAUCACCUACUAGUUAUCUAUAUCAUAACAGACAUUGUCCUUCCUGGAAAAUAUUUCUUCCCUGUGUGCCUAGGAGAAAGCUAUACACACGGUGAAAGGAUAUUAAUGCUGCUGAAUGAAUAGCAAUGAUACAGCUGGAAAGACCAAGAUUUCUGCCUUAGGGAUAACAGGAGCUAGAUGGAGUUGUUUAGCAGUUCUGCUCCAGACCUACCGCGAGACUUUGAGGAGUCAUUUAACUAUCUCCAUAUUCCAGCAUAUCAGUGUUAAAAGAGGAGUGACAAGAGUUUGGAAGAGUGAUGUCACUACCGCUGGAAAUGCAGUCACAUAAAUUAUUAAUGCAUUUUCUAAAGAUUUCUUAGAAGAUCAAACUCUGCGUCUUUUCUUCCCACUAAGUCCUUAAAACCCUUUUCUGCACUCGGAGAUUUUCCAUUCACUGCUGGCAAGUCCUCAAGGUGAUUGGAGAAAGGCAUCUCGCAGACUGGGAGGCGGAGAAGUCUGCCUUGCCCCGGAUAUGUGCUGUGAGUCCCGACGGUGCGCACACACACACACACACACACUCUCUCUCUCUCUCUCUCUCUCUCUCUUUCUCUCUCUCUCUAGAAAAUAAAUUACUGACAGUGGGGCUCACAUGUGUCUUUGCAGGCACCAUCCCAGUGACCUCCAGAACCUUCGCAUGCCUGAGUCCUGGGCAGAAAAGAGAAGGUGGUGGGGCUGUGGGAGGCUUCCAGAUGCGGAGGAGGGUCCCCCACACAGCGCAUCCCGAGCCGGCGUUUCCCUUCCAUUUAUUUCCGUGGCACUGACUGUGUGUGCAGCCAGCCAUGCGGCAGCGGAGAGAUACCCCAGAGAAAGAGGAAGCCCGUUGAGCUAUUUUUCACCAUUACAUACUUCACUUCCUAAUAAAUGAGAUCCAGAGCAUGCAAACAGCCCGUCUUGUAGAGAUCAUCAUCUUAGGGAAAAAUCGCAGACCUAACGCAGCACAAAGUAAAAAAUAAAUGAACCCAGAGGAGAGUCAUUCUGGUGAAAUUUGAUACCAUAACUCUCUUCUUAUAGCAUCCUGUUCCUCCCUAGAAGUUUCUGCGCCUCUGAGGUGUAUCGGGGCUCUAAUGGUGGUUAAAAAAAAGAAAGGUGCUAGAUCUUUCUCUGUCCUCAUGCCAGCUUAUUUUCACCAGCGGAAAGAGAUUUAUUUAUAUGUAAGAGUAGAGAAGAACUCAGUUGAGACCAAGUCAUAUUUCACCUGAUUCAAUCCCUGGUGGUCCCUGAUUGGUAAGUGGCGUGAAUUAUGAGGGUUUUAUCAGCUACCUAUGCCAAGCAGCGCCUCAGACCUCGUAUUUCAGGAAUUGUAACAGCGCGGAGCAAGUAACACGUGACAUACCCAUUCCUGCCCUGCAGAGCGCACAGAUACCCCAGUGCCUUGGCUUUUACUGGCCUUUUACAGUCUUUUGGCUUUAUCUUGAUCCUAGAGCAGAAAAACCCACAUUUGGAUGCAACUUCAAGUGUUGAGGUCACCAGUGCUGCUGGCUGUGUCAACUAAGGGAAUCAGUGGACAGUAAUACAAUCUCCCCACAUCCACCAGGGAGUAUAAUAUUUCACAUAGAAAAAUAACAAAAUACUCCCAGGGCCCCGGGGCAAUAUCCUGAAGUUGUUUGAGGUGAAAGAAAAUAACCGUCUUUGGGGCAAAAGAAUUUCGACUCUUUAGCAGUAAACAUUGCUUGCUUUUUGGCUUACACCAUCUGAAUAUUUAUUCAGCCCUAUUUCAGGUAAGAGAAAGUCAUGGCUUUCCCACACAGCCUUGUGAGAUUUCUUUGCCCAGUGUUUGAUGGCCCUAAAGUCAUCUGAGCUGCUGAAUGAGGUCUUUCUGGCCAAAGCCUUGCAAUUUCCUAGCACAUUUUAACAAAACACCUGGUGGAUCUCUAAGCCUCUGGAAAACUCUGGAUGUCUGUCCCUCUUGUUUGGACAGGGAGAAAAAGGAGCAGAACAAACCAGGUCUUACCUUCUCUGUAGCCUUCCUUUGUGGACUCUAAUAUGCAGGGAAAUGGAAAGCAAUCCGUCUCCCGGGCCAGGAAGCUAGUUGAGGAGGUUCCCCAGCCUAAAUGAUGAGUAAACUGAUUGGCAGUUACUUUCGGUGGAGAAAAGGUUGUCCCUUCCAAACAAUUAAGCUGCUCUCCCCUUUUAUGAAACACAAGUGGGGUGGGAUAGAGAAGACUUCAGGACUCUAAAAAUCUAAAAGGGUCUGUCACAUCCUUUUCCUCCCAGGCAGCUGGAAAGUGGGAGAGACGAGGGGAAGGGAAGCACAAACAAGAGCCCUGACAACCAUUCCUAUAUCACCAUCUCUCUCUCAAGCCAUCCUGCUGUUCCCAGUGAAGCUGAGGUAGAUGGAAGGAAAAUCAAUGAACUGGGAGUCCAGAGACUGAGUUUGAGUCGUUUAUGAUUUCGCAGACGUCAUCUUACUGUUCUGAGUUGUGUUCAUAUAUAAAAAGGAGAAAUCAUGUUUACUCUGUGUAGGUCUUGGGCUUGACAGGAGAGAAGACUGAGGUGAAGACUGUUUUUGUUGCUCCUGGACACAGAGCUUUAAAGCAGUUCCCAGGGUUCGGUAGGGCCAUGUGACUUCUAGCCAAUAGAACAUAAAUGGAGGGAUGUGGGUGAUGGAAUCUCCCACGAGUGACCUCCUGUGCUGGUUCCCCAAAUACCAGCCAAACACGAGAGGUUUCCUUAACCCAAAAAGAAGGAGCCCAGAAUCCAGGAGUUUGGGGCCCCAGGCUGCUGUGAAGAAGGCUGUGUCCCAACAGAGAACGCCUGUGUUGGACUUCUUUCACAAGAGUAAAAAUAAAGUUUUUUUUUUUUUUUUAAUGUUAAAUCAUCGAAGUUCAGGGUUGGUUUGUUAUAGCAGCUAGUGUUAUCCUAAUUAAUACAAGAAUCAAAUAAGGGAAAAAACAAAUGUAAAAACAUCGUGUAACCUCUACAACACUACACAGAUUUAAGGGUUUUUUUGGAGGGUGUGGUUGUAGGAAGGGCUGGGGUUAACUGCUGUAGGUAUAGUGAAACAAAAUACUACUGGCUGAUAUUGAUUUGAUGUUUAUGACCAGAUACAAACCUUAUGUGGUGUAUUUAAUUUACUCAUCCCAGCCACCUUAAGUCAGAACUUUUUCCUUAUUUUGGCUUGAAGAAAUCUUGCUUUAGAGAAAUCAAGUCAGUUGCUUGAGAUCGUAUAACUAUCUAGGGCUGCAUGUUCUUAUUCAAGCUCUAUUUUUUUCAAAAUCCGCUUUAAACUCUAAUACAAUAUUCAAAAAUUUUUAAAUUCUCUUGGAGGAAAGUUGAACUGUUUACUUUCUCUAUCGCAGAGGAAUAACAGCAGAGAAAUGUUCGCAUGGAACAUUCUGUUCAUUCCGAUAGGUCUGAAAAUCUCGGUGUUGGAAAUGACAUUCUUUAAGUCAUUCUCCAAGUGUGGACAGCUACUUCUUAGUUAAAAGUGUGCAGAUCAAGUAAUUGAGUUAUCCAUUUUCUUUCAUUAAAAGUAACCCAGGACAGCCAGAGGCUUGGGUAGAUGAAGGGUUUUUUGUUUUUUCUGUUCUCAAUUGUGUUUCUCUUAAGCUUCAAAAGUGCCCUUGCCAAAAGCAUGAUUUGAGCUGCUCUUUAAAUAUUUUUACCAGGUGAGGAAUUGCUGGUUCGUUCCAUUGUGUCAGUAAUGGUUUUAUAUUUGUCACUCUUAGCUAGCAGAUUGUCCAUGAACUGUGUACUGUUUUCACAUUCAUUUUGGAUACUAUUUGGGGUGUUAUUUUUAUUCAAGGGCAAGUAAUGGAACCAAGCUGAUUAUUUAUUUUAUGCACUUUGAAACUAUUUGGGGCUGUAAUGAGUGUUAGCCUUGACCUGAGGCGUUUGAGAGGCAAAACCUCCUCUAUCAAAAAUCGAGUCAUUACACAACGAAAGAGUAAGAGUAUCUGGCCAUUUUCCUCUGGUUUGGAGACCCAACUCCCAUCCCUUUGUCCACAGGUGUUGUAGAUGCCUUCCUCAGACUUGAGAAAUCUGGUUUGGUUAAACUUUCUGCUGUUCAGAUAAAAAACAGCAGCAAUUUUCUGCUUGAAUUUCUCUGUGACUAAAUCCAUUGAUCAUCCUUUCUCUCUGUGAGUGAGAAGUGUGUUUUCUCCUUAAUAACUCCUAUCCUUCUCUUGGAUUUUUUUUCCCCUUCGCUUGUUUGUGUUGUGUUGGUCAGUCCUAUGCGCUAUUCCUCUGAGAGACAGAGGGAGCGCAAAAUUGAAGUUAUUUUAUGCUUGGGCUCCCUCGGUCCCAAUUUUCAAAUCUUCAUGUCAAUUUUCACACAUCAGUGUCAUGUGGUGAAUGUUAUGGAAAUUUCAGUGGGGUCCUUGGGAGGCAAUUUAUACACGAAUCCCUCCCUGCCCCCCCCACCCCCCCAUCUACUACAUCCUACUGCAAUUCCUAUCUUUUCUUAGAAUAAGUGGAUCUAUAAUUAAUGUGGAUUUUUAAAAAUAUAACGGCAUUCAGAAUUCUCAUAGCAG